GUAAAAUUUUUGGUGCUACUAAUUCAUUUCUUAUUAUAGAUGCAACUAUGUAAUGUUUGUACAAGCCCAUUUUUGCCCGGGCCCAUUAAAACCUAAUACCCAAAUUUAAUCCCAAUACCCACUAAACUAACCCAACUAUCUACCCAAACAACAAAAUAAGCCCAAAUGGCCCAAACCCAAACCCAUUAGUCAAACUAAGGUUUCAAAAAAGCUGAAACCCUAGCUUAUCUUCUGCCACAGCCGUCAUCUCUGCCACCCACCUCCACCUGCUCCAUUGCUCAACCACCUACAAGAGAAAAGGAGAACGGAUAGCAAGAAAUAAUAAUAAAACUUGUAAAAAAGAUGGCUAUAAAAAGCCAUUUGGAAAUCAUGUAAAUGGGGGGACAUUUUGAAUAAAAAAAAUCAGUGAUUCAAAGCAAAUAAUAACAAAUCAGGAGAAAAACAUCAAAUCAGAGGAACCCAAAAUACCAAAAAUCAAACCCGAAAACCUAAGGUGAUUUUAUUUUAUUUAUUUAUUUUUAUUUUCGAAUCUAUUUACUUGCAUGUAUACAUAUAUUGCAAACAUAUAAAAAAAUAAAAUAAUAUACCUUUUUGAAUUUCCGGCCACCGUGCGCGGCGGCCAGCGACGACUGGCGACGGCGGCGGACGAAGCUGGAGCUUGGCCGGAGGGAGAGGGCCUUAAGAGAGAAUAGAGAGUUUUUGAAGUUUUUUUUUAAAACAAAGGAAGAAUGAGUUUUUUUUUUAAUUUUUUGACUUAUAUAGCCCCCCCAAAAACGACGUCGUUUUGGGACUGGCCUUAAAUGCCCAAAACGACGUCGUUUUGACCUGGACCGAUCCGACCCGAUAAAUAAUAAGUAAUUUAAAUCCAUGAAUUACAAUGGUAUGUGUAAUGGCCAAUUUUGGCCCAGAUCAAUAAAACAAAAGAAACCCCAAACAAAUCAAAUUAAUUCCAAAAUAAAAAGUCCCAAAAUAAAUAAAGUCCAUUUUACAAAAACAAACAGCAGGCCCAAUUUCCACAUUGAAUGGCCCAAACCCAAAACCAAAUGGCCAUUACAUCAAACCCUAGCCCAAAUCCUAGCCCACUAUCCUAAAAUUUUUUCAGCAAACUAACCCUAGGGCUAGUCCCUAUUGCGGCCGCCGAUCCCACCUUUGGCCUCCCAUCGGCCGCACGCCACCACUCCAUGCGUCCCACGCCUCUCUGACACCUGCGACAAGGAGUAAAUGUGAAGACAGAGAGCAGUACACGGGCAGUAGAAGAAAUCAAGCAAAAAGGAAAAAAAUAUGAAAUGAAUAGUCACCUUAAUCGGCUAUAAGAGCUCGAUUUUUCUAUUUGUAUUUUUUACGCGCACAAGCAAAGUAAAUCACAAAAGAAAAACUAAGGUUAAAAGAUGUUUGUCGAUUCUUUCAUUCAUUUUAUUUUAUGUUUUAUUGUAUUUCUUUUCCUUGCAAAUAUGUUUUAACAAUAAACUAAUAAACAAAGAGAUAAACUUACCUGAGCAACCCCGCAUUCCUCCAUCACUGAGGGUGUUUCACCGGUGCAGAGGACCCCAAAACCUCUUAAGGUUUGGCCGUGGCUUUGACGGCUACAUCGGCUAGGCAAAGGGACCGAAGUGUCUUUUUAUUCGAUUUUUGUCGCGAACGAGAGGCUAGGCCUUUAGAUCCGGCCAAACAGAGGCUAAAAAGCUCGAUUUUUGCACCUUCGACCACCGCCUAUGGUGGCCGGUGCGAAGGUGAACUGUCGACACCAAUAACCAAAGGGAAGGGGGUUUUUGGAGAAAUAGACUAAGGGUUUUCAGUUUUUUUUUAAAAGAGGGCGGAAAU
This 1821-nucleotide long non-coding RNA is filed under the name Gossypium barbadense (sea-island cotton). RNAcentral describes it as "long non-coding RNA (GBAR_LNC001852)". The record is from RNAcentral. Lineage: Eukaryota; Viridiplantae; Streptophyta; Magnoliopsida; Malvales; Malvaceae.